This 71-nucleotide transfer RNA is filed under the name Loxodonta africana (African savanna elephant). It matches the Rfam family "tRNA". Rfam says of the family: Transfer RNA (tRNA) molecules are approximately 80 nucleotides in length. Their secondary structure includes four short double-helical elements and three loops (D, anti-codon, and T loops). Further hydrogen bonds mediate the characteristic L-shaped molecular structure. tRNAs have two regions of fundamental functional importance: the anti-codon, which is responsible for specific mRNA codon recognition, and the 3' end, to which the tRNAs corresponding amino acid is attached (by aminoacyl-tRNA synthetases). tRNAs cope with the degeneracy of the genetic code in two manners: having more than one tRNA (with a specific anti-codon) for a particular amino acid; and 'wobble' base-pairing, i.e. permitting non-standard base-pairing at the 3rd anti-codon position. The record is from Rfam by way of RNAcentral. Lineage: Eukaryota; Metazoa; Chordata; Mammalia; Proboscidea; Elephantidae.
GCAGUGGUGGUUCAGGGGUAGAGUUCUCACCUUCCAUGCAGGAGACCUGGGUUCAAUUCCUGGUCAAUGCG